UACGGAGGGUCCAAGCGUUAUCCGGAAUCAUUGGGUUUAAAGGGUCCGUAGGCGGUUUUGUAAGUCAGUGGUGAAAGCCCAUCGCUCAACGGUGGAACGGCCAUUGAUACUGCAAGACUUGAAUUACUAGGAAGUAACUAGAAUAUGUAGUGUAGCGGUGAAAUGCUUAGAUAUUACAUGGAAUACCAAUUGCGAAGGCAGGUUACUACUAGUUGAUUGACGCUGAUGGACGAAAGCGUGGGGAGCGAACAGG
RNAcentral lists this ribosomal RNA (253 nucleotides) under uncultured bacterium. RNAcentral describes it as "partial 16S ribosomal RNA". It matches the Rfam family "Bacterial small subunit ribosomal RNA", at positions 524 to 776 of the family's 1533-position model. The record is from RNAcentral.